CAGUCGCCACGGGAAUACGUAGGGUGCAAGCGUUAAUCGGAAUUACUGGGCGUAAAGCGUGCGCAGGCGGUUUGUUAAGACAGAUGUGAAAUCCCCGGGCUCAACCUGGGAACUGCAUUUGUGACUGGCAAGCUAGAGUAUGGCAGAGGGGGGUGGAAUUCCGCGUGUAGCAGUGAAAUGCGUAGAUAUGCGGAGGAACACCGAUGGCGAAGGCAGCCCCCUGGGCCAAUACUGACGCUCAUGCACGAAAGCGUGGGGAGCAAACAGGAUUAGAGACCCCUGUAGUCCCUGUCUCUUAUAC
This 301-nucleotide ribosomal RNA is filed under the name uncultured bacterium. Its description in RNAcentral is "partial 16S ribosomal RNA". It matches the Rfam family "Bacterial small subunit ribosomal RNA", at positions 509 to 807 of the family's 1533-position model. The record is from RNAcentral.